Molecule: non-coding RNA, 157 nt
Filed under: Burkholderia sp.
Lineage: Bacteria; Pseudomonadati; Pseudomonadota; Betaproteobacteria; Burkholderiales; Burkholderiaceae
Description: FMN sequence
Rfam family: FMN riboswitch aptamer (RFN element)
About the family: The RFN element is a highly conserved domain that is found frequently in the 5'-untranslated regions of prokaryotic mRNAs that encode for flavin mononucleotide (FMN) biosynthesis and transport proteins. This element is a metabolite-dependent riboswitch that directly binds FMN in the absence of proteins.
Source: RNAcentral
GAACGUUCUCGGGGCGGGGUGAAAUUCCCCACCGGCGGUAAUCGCGCGAUUGCGCGUAGCCCGCGAGCGCUUGCCGGCACGCAUGUGCCCGGCAAGGUCAGCAGACCCGGUUGGAUUCCGGGGCCGACGGUCAAAGUCCGGAUGAGAGAGAGCGGGG